RNAcentral lists this long non-coding RNA (7924 nucleotides) under Podarcis lilfordi (Lilford's wall lizard). Lineage: Eukaryota; Metazoa; Chordata; Lepidosauria; Squamata; Lacertidae. The record is from RNAcentral.
GGCGCUCCUUCCGCGGCGCCGCCUGCUUCCCUUCCCAGCCGCACCUGGCGCAGGUGCGCACGGAACGGAGAGCCCGGCCAAGACGGGGGUGGCGAUUCUCUCCACAUUUCCUGGAUGAGUCAAGUCCGGGGCGAAGGCAGGAGGAGACAAUUGUUGCUUAUUUGUUGUUUUCUUCUUUUUUUACCAUGCCUCCAAGUUGAUCGAAGUGGCACACAUAACUCUCCUCCCGCCACCAUUUUAUCCUCGCACAACAACCCUGCGAGGUAGACUGUGAUAGGCAGAAGGUCAGCCAGGGAGCUUAAUGGCCGAGUGGGGAUUUGAACCCUGGUCUAUCAAGUUUUCUUGGGGACGUGGGUGGCGCUGUGGGUUAGGACUUGCCAAUCAGAAGGUUGGCAGUUCGAAUCCCCGUGACGGGGUGAGCUCCCAUUGUUCGGUCCCAGCUCCUGCCAACCUAGCCGUUUGAUAGCACGUCAAAGUGCAAGUAGAUAAAUAGGUACCGCUCCAGCGGAAAGGUAAACAGCGUUUCCAUGCACUGCUCUGGUUCACCAGAAGUGGCUUAGUCAUGCUGGCCACAUGACCCGGAAGCUGUAUGCCGGCUCCCUCGGCCAAUAAAGUGAGAUGAGCACCGCAACCCCAGAGUCGGCCACGACUGGACCUAAUGGUCAGGGGUCCCUUUACCCUUUACCUUUACCUAUCAAGUUUUAAGGCAACGCUCUUGCUAGUAUAGCAUACUGGCUGACUUAGGUGGCAAGGCACACAGCUGAUCUGUGUGAACAAUGUUGGGCAAGAAGGGGGUCUGGUUGGAGCUGUGAGCUGACAAGGGGCCGCUCCAUAUGGUAUAUUUAAAGCUCAGCCAAUGCACAUUGAAUGCAUAUGACUUACACCAGACUCCUGGGAACUGUUCAGGAUGUUGGGAAUUGUAAUUCUGUGUGGAACUACACUUCCCAGGAUUCCUUGGGAGAAAGCCAUGUGUUUUAAAUGUGGUUUAAACAUAUAGUAUUAAUUAUUUUUAACCACUGAAAAACCUUGGAUUUACAGAUGCUGCAAUUCAGAAUAAUUUCUACAGGAGAGUGGGCUUGUUCAGUGAGUGAAUAACAGGACAAGAAGUUCUUUGAAAUGUGUUUGUUUGCAGUAGCAUUCCUGUGAGAUAAGUUUGAAGAGGACGCAGCUUUAAUUUUGGAAAUGCCAUAUAUAUAUAUAUAUAUGUAAAGAAGUGCUUUAUUCUGUCCAUUCUGAGCCUACCACAAAUCAGCUUCUUUGGCUCCCCAACCCUACCCCUGCCCAGCCAGUUCCAGGGCUGUGCGAGAGGGCAAACAGUUUAGGAACAAAGGGAGCUGUUUUGUACCAAGUCAGACCAUUAUUCCUUCUUGCUCAGUAAUUACCAGCACUGACUGGCAGCAGAGAAAGAAACCUGCUGACUGCCAUUUACUGUACUUCCUCCUGCCUUCAGUUUUCUGUUGCUGAUUACACCUUGCUCCAUCCCCUCUUCCUUUCUCCUGCUUUGAUGUUUCACAGGAAGCCAGACUUGCUGUUCCAGUCCCCCACCCCCCACCCCGCCUUCUCAAGAUACUCUUCUUGGGAAAGGCAUUAAGCAUAUAGUAGACCUACCUCCUGGCACUUGGUGUCUAAUAAAAAGUGGGUUGCAUCUCUGCAUCAUCCAAGUAGGUUGCAUCUCUGCAUCAUAUUUGGAUGCCAAAGAAUCCAAACCAUUGCCAAAAGCAAGGACCUAGUCCUCAUUGUUUGAGUGCUUAAUUGUGAGGACAUCUGAAUUGAUGUUCCAGUGAAAUUUAAAUGGAUUUCAUUGCUACUGGGACAUCUUCAUUAUUGGACAGCACUGAAGGGAGACAGCUGUGCUCUGGAGUGUGAGACAGCUUCCCAAGCAAAAGAACUUACAGCCUACUGAGUGUAACUUGCUAUUUCCCUUGUUCAACAGAUUUGCUCCCCAAAUUUCUCCUUAAAAUCCUCUCCGGUGAUUUCUGAAGUAAUGAUUACAGUGGAACCUCGGUAUUCAAAUGUAAUCCGUUCCGGAAGUCCGUUCAACUUCCGAAAUGUUCGAAAAUCAGAGGGUUGUCAGCAAAGUGAAUGGUGAAAAUAGAAAAAAAAAGUGCUGUGGAAGCCGUUCGACUUCCGAGGUGCAUUCGAAAACAGAAGCAUUCACUUCCGGGUUUUCGGUGUUCGGCUUCCGAAACAUUCGGCAGCCGAGACGUUCAAAAACCGACGUUCCACUGUAUGAAUAUGAGAGCCUUUUAGAUCAGGCCAAUGAUUCAUCUAGUCACAGAAUCACAGAGAUGGAAGGGACCAUGAGAGUAAUCUUUUGCCCAAUGCAGGACUCAAACCCAUGAGAUUCAGAGUCUCGUACUCUACCGACUGAGCUGUCCCAGGAAUCAGCAUCCUGUUCUCACAGUGGUCAGCCGGAUGCCUGUGGGAAUCCUGCAGGCAGGACCCAAGCACAAGAGCUAGUAAGGUAAAGGUAAAGGGACCCCUGACCAUGAGGUCCAGUCGUGGCCGACUCUGGGGUUGCGGCGCUCAUCUCGCUUUAUUGGCCGAGGGAGCUGGCGUACAGCUUCCAGGUCAUGUGGCCAGCAGGACUAAGCCGCUUCUGGUGAACCAGAGCAGCACACGGAACCACUGUUUACCUUCCCGCCGGAGCGGUACCUAUUUAUCUACUUGCACUUUGACGUGCUUUCGAACUGCUAGGUUGGCAGGAGCAGGGACCAAGCAACGGGAGCUCAGCCCGUCACAGGGAUUCGAACCGCUGACCUUCUGAUCAGCAAGCCCUAGGUUCUGUGGUUUAACCCACAGCGCCACCCUUGUCCCACACAAGAGCUAGUAGCUAUAAAUAAAUAUUAUUAUUAUUAUUAUUAGACAAAUUCAUAGAGGAGAGGGCUUAGCGACACCCCCCAGCCAUGAUGGCUCUGCUGCCUUGCCUCCAAACUUGGAGGUUGUAAUGUUUCUGAACACCAGUUGCUGGAAGCCCCAGAAGUGUGUUGAUCUUGUGCUCAGAUCCUGCUUGUGUGUGAACAGCAUGCUGGACGAGACGGGCCAUGGGCCUGAUCCAGCAGGCUCCCCUUACGCUUGUGUCAAGAUGCAGAGCAGGCUCCCACUUCACCUGUCGAUCAUGAUCACUGCAUAACCUCAACGGUUCUCCCGGCAUUCGGAACGCAUCCCAAAGCCACCACUUUCAGAGAACCAGCGAGGUGACAGAUUGCCUUGCAGAGACCGUCAGAUCGAUGGGCCUGCUUUUCUAUGCCUCGCACACAUCUCAGCCUGAAUUACGGCGCUGCUACGGCGCGGUGAUGGACGCUUAGGUGCCACAUAAUUCCUUCCUGGCAAUCGCUUGUCCAAUUUGUAACUUGCAGAGGCGCCAUAAAACACCCGUUUAAUUGACUGCAUCUGGACGCAUCAGCUGCCCAAAAGAGGCUGCCAGAUUUUGGGUCCCUCUGCAGCCUCGGAAGGCAGAGUGACAACAGUGAUUAUGGCGUCUCCGUUUUCCAAGCGAGUUGCAAUAUUUAAUCUUCGGGUGAGGCGCAAUUGCACGCUGCAGGGGAGACGGAGUUGAAGUCUACUCCCAGCUUCUGGGAUGGAGAGCCACCUGAAAAUAACACUGGGAGGAAAUCUCAUGCAACAGAAAAUGAAAAAAAAUUAAAAUGUUGCUCAGUAUACUGUGUAUAGAAGGGACGCGGGUGGCGCUGUGGGUUAAACCACAGAGCCUAGGACUUGCCGGUUAGAAGGUUGGCUGUUCGAAUCUCCGUGACGGGGUGAGCUCCCGUUGCUUUGUCCCUGCUCCUGCCAACCUAGCAGUUCGAAAUCACCUCAAAGUGCAAGUAGAUAAAUAGGUACCGCUCUGGCAGGAAGGUAAACGGCAUUUCCGUGUGCUGCUCUGGUUCGCCAGAAGCGGCUUAGUCAUGCUGGCCACAUGACCCGGAAGCUGUACGCUGGCUCACUUGGCCAAUAAAGCGAGAUGAGCACCGCAACCCCAGAGUCGGUCACAACUGGACCUAAUAGUCAGGGGUCCCUUUACCUUUACCUUUUAUACUGUGUAUCCCAAGGGAAUACAUUUUUUUGCAUACCUUCAACUGUACAUAGAUAUACAUGUCAUUUUCAAUGCUAUAUAAGUCACAUUUAUAUUCAUAUUGUACUACUUUGGCUAUGUGUUUAAUAAAAUAUUGAAUUCUUGUAUUGUGAAAAACAAAGAUUAUGGUGAAAAGUGAAAAACAUGAAUUGCAGAAAAACUAGAGCUUACAGAACAAAACCAACUUCAGAUAUGAAAUCAGCACGUCGAAAUUAGGUUAGAACAACUGCAGGUGUCAAUGCAACAAAAAUUUUGUUUCCCAGUGUAAUCAUUAAGGCUGGAAUCCAAACUCCUCCUACCUGGGAGUAAACUCCACUGAAAUCAGGAUGACUCACUUCUAAGUAGCCAUGAUCAGGAUUGUGCUGUCUGGCUGCUACUCUCUGCGUACAUAACUGGGAGCAAGAUGCAACUGGUAAGGUUGGUCUCUCCUGGAAGGAGCAGGUUCGUGUCUUGGGGUUACUCCUGGAUCCAGUGUUAUCACUGCAAUACCUGUUUCCGGCUAUUUUGGACAGAGAUGAUUUGGCUACUGUAUUCCAUGCUCCAUGGCAGCUUCCAGGCUGGAUUACUGCAAUGCGCUCUACGUGGGGCUGCCCUUGAAGACAGCUUGGAAACUUCCAACUGGUCCAAAAUGCAGCGGCCAGAUUGCUAGCUGGGAUUUCCUUCCGGAUUUCAUAUACCCCAUGUUUCAAAACAGUUGCAUAGGUUGCCAGUGCACUUCCAGGCCCAAUUCAAGAUGCUCACAUUAGUAUUUAAAGCCCUAAACAGAGGCAUUAUUCUGGGAUGUGUCUUGAAGAACUGGGGACUAGGCAGCACAAUCCUAUACAGUGGUACCUUGGUUCUCAAAUGCCUUGGUACUCAAACAACUUGGAACCCAAACACUGCAAACCCAGAAGUAAGUGUUCCGGUUUGCAAACCUUUUUCAGAAGCGGAACAUGCUCUGUUUUGAGUGCCACGCUGAGGUCUGUGUGUGGAACCUAGUUCAGCUACUGAUUGAUUGAUUGUGUGAUUGCAGUGCAUUGUUUAUUGCUUUCAUUUUAUGUAUCCAUGGUCUCGUUAGAUAGUAAAACUCAUGUUAAAUUGCUGUUUUAGGGGUUAUUUUUCAAAGUCUGGAAUGGAUCAAUGCAUCUUGCAUUACUUUCUAUGGGAAAGCGUGCCUUGGUUUUGGAACGCUUUGGUUUUGGAACGGAUUAAGAUUGAGAACCAAGGGACCACUGUAUACGUGUCUACUCUGAAGUAAAGCAAUACUGUGUUUGACGGGACAGUGUGUACUGGAUUGUGGCCUUAUUCCUUUUAGAGAGAGAAGACAACAUGCGAGGAAAUGUCAGAUAUUAGAUUGCAUUUCCCCCCCCAAUACCAUGAAAUUAACAGGAAAGAUUGUCUGCCUGCAUGAACUCAAAACAAUCACUUACUGGAGGUGUCGGGAGAUUAAGCAUUGCAUCAAUACCAUGCAUCACCUCUAUGGAUUUUAAUGCUUGUCGUUAAGCUGGCCGUUUGACAAAUGCAACAGAGGUAAUAAUGCUAUUAUUGACUUGGUGUAAUAAAAAUUUAUAUUACAAAAAUAAAAAUAAAAUUUAGGAGGGCGGGGAGUUUUUAUGGGCUGCUUUAUGAGCGUUUUCAGCGACUCCAGAGAAAGCAGCAGAUAGCGAUCACUGCAGGAGUCAAUACAAGAGGGCAGCAGAUCCGCAGCAAAUCCAUCAACCCAGUGGAGAAAUAGGAGCUCUGAACAUUCAGGAAAGCUCGGUUAUUUGGAAAAUGGUACUAAGCCCCCACACCAAGAUAACAGGGAUAUCAAUUUGAUAAGUUUCUUUGCACUAUAAUAAUAAGCAUCAAACACAGUAACUGUUGGCCAAGUAUCUUGUAAGAAAAUGGUUUCUUCAUCUUAACAAUAAUAGAACACAGUACAGUGGUCCCUUGGUUCUCAGACGCCUUGGUACUCAAAACAAUUUGGAACCCAAACACUGUAAACCCGGAAGUAAGUGUUCCGGUUUGCAAACUUUCUUUGGAAGCCGAACGUGCUGUGUUUUGAGUGUUACGCUUCUGAUUUGAGUGUUCCACUGAGGUCUGUCUGCUUUUGCUAUUUAUUUUGCAUUUUUUCGGCUUUUUUGUUUUGUUUUUGUGACUGUCUGGAACCCAGUUCAGCUACUGAUUGAUUGUGUGACUGCAGUACAUUGUUUAUUGCUUUCGUUUUAUGGAUCCAUGGUCUUGUUAGAUAGUAAAAUUCAUGUUAAACCGCUGUUUUAGGGGUUGUUUUUAAAAGCCUGGAACGGAUUAAUCCAGUCUGCAUUACUUUCUAUGGGAAAGCGCGCCUUGGUUUUGGAAUGCUUUGGUUUUGGAACCGACUUCUGGAACGGAUUAAGUUUGAGAACCAAGGUACCACUGUAUUAUUCCCUCUAUUUCCAAUGUCUUGAGUGUGAGCGCCAUUCCUUAUGCCCCCAAAUCAUCACCACUCAUGCCAAAAAAAGAAAAGAAAAAAAAGGAGGAAAUCCAGUUUGCAGGAGCACCAAAGAAAAUGCUUAAGGGAAAGAACUCCAAAACAAUCCAAGGCCACAGAAUGUUGACUGACAGAGGUUGCACUUUGUUAAAAGAGUUACUAGAAGACCCCUAUUCCCCCCACUGACCAUUCCCAGAGUUCCCUGGGAAGAGUGAUUCAUUGUUAAACUACAUUGGCAAUUGUAGCUCUGGGAGGGGAAUAACGGAAUCUCUUAGCACCUCUCAGCACCCUGAACAAACUACAACUCCCAGCAUUCUUUGAGGGAAGCAAUGACUGUUCAAAGUGAUAUCAUAGAGCUUCAAAAAAUGUCUGGAUGCGGUCCAAGUUCUUCAGCACCCUUUCACAUUACAAACUAUUUCCUGCCCAAUAUAUAACUGGAUUUUGAUACCAACUUAAAAAAAAACUUUUAAAAAACGUGCUUGUCUUUUGCUUUGAGUUGCUGUGGCAAAAAUGCAACUCAUGUAUUUGAUAAGGAAUAAAAUUAAAAAUUAGAUGGGUACAAUCCAGCUGUUUGUAAGUACUUUCAAAAACAUCCAUUUUGACUGGAUGGGUUGGAAUUGCAAUCUUAGGCACACUGACUCAUAAGCAAAUCCUUCUAAACUCAGUGGAAAUCUACUCUCAGGUAAGUGUAUUUAGGAUUGUGGUCUUAAGUGCCCAUCUGGCUCUCAGCUAAAAAAUUAUAAAAAUUUGUAUUAAAAAAUUAUUAGAAGAUAAAGUCCCGACCAGAGAAGAAUGGCAGAUUAAGUUGAUGGAUUAUGCUGAAAUGGCAAAAAUGAGUGGAAGAAUCAGAAAUCAGGAAGACCAAAAUUUCAAUAAAGAAUGGGAAUUUUUAAAAAAAUUAUCUUAAAAACCACUGUAAACAGUUAAAACUGUUAGUAGGAUUGGAAUAACACUUGUAGUUUAACGGUGAAUUUUGGAUAUAAUGGAGAUGUAAAAGAUCUGUAUUAUUAUAAAAGAUGCAAGAGGAAAUGAUUAAUAAUAGGACCCACAAAAAGAAAGUCCAGGAUAUUCUUUGGAAUCUUGUUUUUGUUGUAUGUUGGAUAUACGAGUGUAAAACUGUAAUUUGAAAAACUAUAUACAUUUACAUAUACAUAUAUAGCCCCUUGAAAACUGAGAUGAAAGACUUAUUGAGAGGACGAUCUAUUUUGGCAGCUAAGGGGGAAGAGAGUUUGUGGGAUGGGGGUUAUUGGUCUGUUUUAUUAUUUAUUUUGUGUUUCCCCAUAUGGUAUUUUUUUAUGUUGUGAACCGCCCUGCGAUCUUCGAGUGGAAGGUGAUAUACACGUUUCACAAAUAACAAAAGCCGUUUCGACUUCUUUCUCACAAAUCUCUCAUACAGGACCAGCAAGAACAGACGAGCUUCG